Molecule: ribosomal RNA, 449 nt
Filed under: uncultured bacterium
Lineage: Bacteria
Description: partial 16S ribosomal RNA
Rfam family: Bacterial small subunit ribosomal RNA
Source: RNAcentral
AACGAACGCUGGCGGCAUGCCUAACACAUGCAAGUCGAACGAGAUCUUCGGGUCUAGUGGCGCACGGGUGCGUAACGCGUGGGAAUCUGCCCUUUGGUUCGGAAUAACAGUUGGAAACGACUGCUAAUACCGGAUGAUGACGAAAGUCCAAAGAUUUGUCGCCAGAGGAUGAGCCCGCGUAGGAUUAGCUAGUUGGUGUGGUAAAGGCGCACCAAGGCGACGAUCCUUAGCUGGUCUGAGAGGAUGAUCAGCCACACUGGGACUGAGACACGGCCCAGACUCCUACGGGAGGCAGCAGUGGGGAAUAUUGGACAAUGGGCGAAAGCCUGAUCCAGCAAUGCCGCGUGAGUGAUGAAGGCCUUAGGGUUGCAAAGCUCUUUUACCCGGGAUGAUAAUGACAGUACCGUGAGAAUAAGCUCCGGCUAACUCCGUGCCAGCCGCCGCCGUAA